Harmonia axyridis is the source of this 1028-nucleotide long non-coding RNA. RefSeq lists it as uncharacterized. The record is from RefSeq and is a predicted model, not a curated record. NCBI's taxonomy places the organism in Eukaryota, Metazoa, Arthropoda, Insecta, Coleoptera, Coccinellidae. The transcript is spliced from 3 exons.
AUAAAACUUUGCUCUAUGAAUCGAUGUCAAAUUCAAACGUCGUCUUCUUUCUUCUGUCAUCCGGGGUGAUUUGAAUGUUUGGAAAUUUCUUCAUCUCGGGGUUGUGGAGUAGAACUCAUUCCCAUUUUCAUGAAGUUUCCAAGUGUCGGUGAAAUAAUCUGAUGUCAGGUGUGGAUUAUCCCAUUCUCCGAGGGACGUCGAAGUUCCCUGUCAGAUGAGUCGAAACCAUUCCAAACUCAUUGAUAUACUGGUUGAUUUACCUGUGGAUAUUACAAGGAAUCAGUGACUGUAUGGUGAAAUUUUCAGAGCGGUGAAAAUUCUUCCAGUUAUACAGUUUAAAUUAUCUAUAUGAAAAUUGAAAUGGAAUCCAGAUGUCCACCAGAGUAAUAAUUGACAGGCCAUGAUGUCCAAUUCUUCAAGUACUUCUUUCUUGGAUGAUGACAUGAAUAAAUCUUCAGGAAUCAUGUCUUCGGUGGAAUUGGGCUUACAGCUGAUCAUCCGAUGAAAGGUGUGUUGCCUAUCUCCAGCAUUUAUUCUCAUCGGUGUUGCAGUAUGGGAGACCUGGGCAGUUGGCAGUGGGUGUUCAUCAUCUUCCAAAUCUAUCAGUGAUGUCUUCAGUUGUGCAACCUUGGUUGGUUGAAUGGGAGACAUCUCAGGCGACAGUGGAACCUCUGCCUCCAAAAGCGAUCCAUCCGGUCGGGUUGAUGGUUGCUGUCCGUCAGCAGUCAACGUUGCCUCCAAUGAACUCAAGGCCCGAGCUACAGUCUCCUUUAAGUGCUCUAUCAUCUGUGACUCGGUUUCAUUUUUAGGGAUAAUAAAAUUCAGUCUUCUCUGAAUGUGUAUUAAUCUUGUUGAAAUCCGAGUAUAUUCCUUCGUGGUGUUCUCAGUGUCAAAGUGUUGAAUGGCUUCCAGCAAGUCGGUGAGUUUGUUCUGACAUGACUCCAUGUCCAGUGUCGGGUUCAUUCCUGUCGGCUGUAGAGGCAAAUUCAAUUUCAAUACCUGUCGUAAUAAACUCCUCUUUAGCAUUA